Molecule: long non-coding RNA, 211 nt
Filed under: Mytilus galloprovincialis (Mediterranean mussel)
Lineage: Eukaryota; Metazoa; Mollusca; Bivalvia; Mytilida; Mytilidae
Source: RNAcentral
CAACGCUUUUACAACCCUAUAAAGUUACAAAAAGAAGCAUUCAAUACUUAUAAUUACAUUUUUUAGCUAUGAUCAUGAAAACACGAAUUUUAUAUAUUUUUUAUUUAAUUCACCUGUGCACUUUAUUGUUGGACCACAUGUUAUCAUGAAUGAAAAGUUGUAUUGAGCAAUGCAACUGCUUUCGGAAUAACACGUGAUGUGCAGUUAGCCA